This 120-nucleotide small nucleolar RNA is filed under the name Nannospalax galili (Upper Galilee mountains blind mole rat). Its description in RNAcentral is "Small nucleolar RNA SNORA40 (ENSNGAG00000004314.1)". It matches the Rfam family "Small nucleolar RNA SNORA40". From Rfam's summary of the family: The snoRNA ACA 40 belongs to the H/ACA family of snoRNAs and guides the pseudouridylation of 28S rRNA subunit at position U4565. NB This family has a high threshold value to exclude a large number of closely related sequences that do not appear to have conserved H and ACA boxes, and may be pseudogenes. The record is from RNAcentral. Lineage: Eukaryota; Metazoa; Chordata; Mammalia; Rodentia; Spalacidae.
CACAUGUGUGUUUGUUCAACUGGUGGACAAAGCCUGAUUGACAAUGUAAAUUAAAUCCCCUUUUGAAGCCCUGAAAUCAUUGUUCAGUAUGAGUUUUGAGACAAACAAGACUGUGGUUUU